GACGAACGCUGGCGGCGUGCCUAAUACAUGCAAGUAGAACGCUGAAGGAAGGAGCUUGCUCUUUCUGGAUGAGUUGCGAACGGGUGAGUAACGCGUAGGUAACCUGCCUGGUAGCGGGGGAUAACUAUUGGAAACGAUAGCUAAUACCGCAUAAAAUUGAUUAUUGCAUGAUAGUCAAUUAAAAGGUGCAACUGCACCACUACCAGAUGGACCUGCGUUGUAUUAGCUAGUUGGUGGGGUAACGGCUCACCAAGGCGACGAUACAUAGCCGACCUGAGAGGGUGAUCGGCCACACUGGGACUGAGACACGGCCCAGACUCCUACGGGAGGCAGCAGUAGGGAAUCUUCGGCAAUGGACGGAAGUCUGACCGAGCAACGCCGCGUGAGUGAAGAAGGUUUUCGGAUCGUAAAGCUCUGUUGUAAGAGAAGAACGAGUGUGAGAGUGGAAAGUUCGCACUGUGACGGUAUCUUACCAGAAAGGGACGGCUAACUACGUG
This 497-nucleotide ribosomal RNA is filed under the name uncultured bacterium. RNAcentral describes it as "partial 16S ribosomal RNA". It matches the Rfam family "Bacterial small subunit ribosomal RNA", at positions 28 to 507 of the family's 1533-position model. The record is from RNAcentral.